ACGGUAUUAUGCUUAUUGCUUGCCGUUCUAGUUAUUGCAGCUAUUUACAGGUCUAAGCGUCUAAGAGCAUUAGCCUCGGAAGAAGACCCAACAAUACUAUUCCUUCACCGCCACCGCUCCGCGAGUCUACUUCCACCUGUAUUCACCUACGAGGAACUUGAAUCUUCAACAAAUCGGUUCGACCCAAAGCGAAAGAUUGGCGACGGCGGUUUCGGGUCUGUGUACUUAGGCCACCUCUACGAUGGCAGAGUUGUGGCUGUUAAAUACCUCCAUAAACAGCAACACCACCACGCGGCAGCUGCAGGCAAAGCAUUCUCUACCAAGUCAUUCUGCAAUGAAAUCCUGAUAUUAUCUUCAAUAGAUCAUCCAAAUCUGGUCAAGCUCUACGGGUACUGCAGCGACCCGAGAGGUCUACUUCUAGUAUAUGACUAUGUCCCGAAUGGCACUCUCGCUGACCAUCUGCACGGGCCAAAGGGCUUGCAUCGCAAAGGGCGUUUAACAUGGCAAGUAAGGCUCGACAUUGCAUUGCAAACGGCUCUAGCUUUAGAGUACUUGCAUUUCGCCGUCCAUCCGGCGAUCGUUCAUAGAGAUAUAACUUCUUCAAAUAUUUUUAUAGAGAAAGAUAUGAGAAUUAAAGUUGGAGACUUCGGACUUUCCAGGCUUCUGGUUUUUCCCGAAACGUCGUCAUCUUCGUCUGGUUACGUUUGGACCGGACCUCAAGGUACCCCUGGAUACUUGGAUCCGGAUUACCACCGGUCUUUCCGGUUAACCGAGAAAAGCGACGUGUAUAGUUUUGGGGUGGUUUUGUUAGAGUUGAUUUCUGGGUUGAAAGCGGUGGAUCAGAGUAGGGACAAAAGAGAGAUGGCGUUAGCGGAUUUAGUAGUAUCCAAGAUCCAAAUGGGUCAGCUCCAUCAAGUAGUGGACCCAGUAUUGAUUGUUGAAGGGGAGGCGAAGGAGAGUAUUUAUGCGGCGGCGGAGCUAGCGUUCCGCUGUGUGGCGGCGGAUAAGGAUGAUAGGCCAGAUUCGAAGGAGGUAGUGGAGGAGCUAGAGCGGAUCCGGAGUUGCACGCGUGGGUUUGGCGGGGCGAAUAAUUCGAAUGGAGGGGAAGGUGACGUGGCAAAAGGAUGAUUAAUUGAUUGAUUGAAGGAAGGGUUACGUGUAGUGUGAUGCUGUUUUUUUAAUAUCGUUUUUGCAGGUGGUGAUGCAUGUACUUUGAGUUCGAAUGAAAUUCCCAGAUCCUCAUGUCCUCCAUUUUCAUCCACUCCUCCUUUUCCUUUCUCUAUAUCGCCUGGCUGUGGUCAUCCUUCUUUUCAACUAAAAUGCUCUUUACCUUACUCUACUAUCUCCAUUAACGACUUUUCUUUCUCUGUUAUUGAAUUUGAACCCAACUCUUCCUCUCUCACUCUCUCUCCUCAAACCCAUCAUUCUUUUACAUCUACAGAAACUACAACUAACAGUAAUUGCUCUUCUCUUUCAAUUCCUACCCGUUCGAUCAAUCUCUCUGGUUCUCCAUUUCGAUUCUCCGAUUCUGAUUGUUCCCGUCUCUCUGUUGUUCGCUCUUGUUCCCCCCUGAAUCUUCCCAAUUGCAGCCAUUGUUCAUGGGAAUGCAAACUUAUUAAGAACCCAGUUCAGCUUCUCCAUGGUUGCGGAUCUAGUCAUCUACCUAUUUCUGAGCAAGGUUGCCAGCCGAACAUUUUAGAGUAUCUUGACCAGUUUCUAACAGUUGGGCUUCAUGUUGAAUACGAUGAAUCUCAAGAUUCUUACUUUUCUAGUUGCAGAGUGUGUAAAUCCAAGAAUGGUAUCUGUGGGUUCAAUUCUUCAGACCCGGAUAAGCGAUUCCUCUGUUUUCUGCCUAAAUCGCGAUUCUCGCCUCCAUGGAUUCACGAAGAUGAUGCAAAUCGAAUCGCGAUAUUAUGUUCAAUCUUCACGGUAUUAUGCUUAUUGCUUGCCGUUCUAGUUAUUGCAGCUAUUUACAGGUCUAAGCGUCUAAGAGCAUUAGCCUCGGAAGAAGACCCAACAAUACUAUUCCUUCACCGCCACCGCUCCGCGAGUCUACUUCCACCUGUAUUCACCUACGAGGAACUUGAAUCUUCAACAAAUCGGUUCGACCCAAAGCGAAAGAUUGGCGACGGCGGUUUCGGGUCUGUGUACUUAGGCCACCUCUACGAUGGCAGAGUUGUGGCUGUUAAAUACCUCCAUAAACAGCAACACCACCACGCGGCAGCUGCAGGCAAAGCAUUCUCUACCAAGUCAUUCUGCAAUGAAAUCCUGAUAUUAUCUUCAAUAGAUCAUCCAAAUCUGGUCAAGCUCUACGGGUACUGCAGCGACCCGAGAGGUCUACU
Molecule: long non-coding RNA, 2342 nt
Filed under: Jatropha curcas
Lineage: Eukaryota; Viridiplantae; Streptophyta; Magnoliopsida; Malpighiales; Euphorbiaceae
Description: long non-coding RNA (JCUR_LNC003350)
Source: RNAcentral